AUUGAACGCUGGCGGCAUGCCUUACACAUGCAAGUCGAACGGCAGCAUAGGAGCUUGCUCCUGAUGGCGAGUGGCGAACGGGUGAGUAAUAUAUCGGAACGUGCCCUAGAGUGGGGGAUAACUAGUCGAAAGACUAGCUAAUACCGCAUACGAUCUACGGAUGAAAGUGGGGGAUCGCAAGACCUCAUGCUCCUGGAGCGGCCGAUAUCUGAUUAGCUAGUUGGUGGGGUAAAAGCUCACCAAGGCGACGAUCAGUAGCUGGUCUGAGAGGACGACCAGCCACACUGGGACUGAGACACGGCCCAGACUCCUACGGGAGGCAGCAGUGGGGAAUUUUGGACAAUGGGGGCAACCCUGAUCCAGCAAUGCCGCGUGAGUGAAGAAGGCCUUCGGGUUGUAAAGCUCUUUUGUCAGGGAAGAAACGGUUCUGGAUAAUACCUGGAGCUAAUGACGGUACCUGAAGAAUAAGCACCGGCUAACUACGUGCCAGCCGCCGCGGUAA
RNAcentral lists this ribosomal RNA (502 nucleotides) under uncultured bacterium. RNAcentral describes it as "partial 16S ribosomal RNA". It matches the Rfam family "Bacterial small subunit ribosomal RNA", at positions 30 to 523 of the family's 1533-position model. The record is from RNAcentral.